UCGGAUUGCAGCCUGCAACUCGGCUGCAUGAAGCUGGAAUCGCUAGUAAUCGCGGAUCAGAAUGCCGCGGUGAAUACGUUCCCGGGUCUUGUACACACCGCCCGUCACACCAUGGGAGUAGGUAAUGCCCGAAGUCGGUGACCUAACCGGAAGGAAGGAGCCGCCGAAGGCAGGACUUAUAACUGGGGUGAAGUCGUAACAAGGUAAC
RNAcentral lists this ribosomal RNA (208 nucleotides) under uncultured bacterium. RNAcentral's name for it is "partial 16S ribosomal RNA". It matches the Rfam family "Bacterial small subunit ribosomal RNA", at positions 1293 to 1500 of the family's 1533-position model. The record is from RNAcentral.